AGCAGCCGCGGUAAUUCCAGCUCCAAUAGCGUAUAUUAAAGUUGCUGCAGUUAAAAGCUCGUAGUUGAAUUUCGGGACCAUCAUGUUGGUCGUGCCUCGGUACGUACUGGUAUUGUUGGUUUCUCCCUUCUGACGAACCAUGAUGUCAUUUAUUUGGUGUUGUGGGGAAUCAGGACUGUUACUUUGAAAAAUUAGAGUGUUUAAAGCAGGCUCACGCUUGAAUACAUUAGCAUGGAAUAAUGAAAUAGGACGUUUUGAUUCUAUUUUGUUGGUUUCUAGGAUCGACGUAAUGAUUAAUAGGGAUAGUUGGGGGCAUUAGUAUUCAAUUGUCAGAGGUGAAAUUCUUGGAUUUAUUGAAGACUAACUACUGCGAAAGCAUUUGCCAAG
This 387-nucleotide ribosomal RNA is filed under the name uncultured Glomeromycotina. RNAcentral's name for it is "SSU rRNA". It matches the Rfam family "Eukaryotic small subunit ribosomal RNA", at positions 569 to 962 of the family's 1831-position model. The record is from RNAcentral. Lineage: Eukaryota; Fungi; Glomeromycota.